RNAcentral lists this transfer RNA (81 nucleotides) under Mesorhizobium sp. RNAcentral's name for it is "tRNA-Arg". The stretch from base 9 to 78 matches the Rfam family "tRNA". From Rfam's summary of the family: Transfer RNA (tRNA) molecules are approximately 80 nucleotides in length. Their secondary structure includes four short double-helical elements and three loops (D, anti-codon, and T loops). Lineage: Bacteria; Pseudomonadati; Pseudomonadota; Alphaproteobacteria; Hyphomicrobiales; Phyllobacteriaceae. The record is from RNAcentral.
GGCGUUGGGAAACAACAGGAAAGGCCGUCUGACAGAUUCCUAAUCUGUAGGUCACAGGUUCGAUUCCUGUCGGGUUCACCA